CGUCCUCAGCGCCAUCACAGACACGCACGCGAAGCUGAGCAAGAGACGGCCCAAUACAUGGAUGCACGGUGCGCCUAUACGUGGAGCUCCCUCUCCCUGCAGUCCCUCUCGCCUCCCGUAUCAUAGCCACGCAGCACCGAUCCCAUUUCUAGCCAGGAGGUGUGUCAGUGGGCAGCCGUGCAAUGCAGUCACGCGUGCGCUUGCUGUAUCUGGAGUUCAUGUAUCUCCUCCCUCAGCUCAAGGGCUUCUACAGCCCACAGGGCGCUGCGGCGGCUUCAAAGGCGCCCGCAUCUGGCAUGGCGACCUCGAAGCCCUUCUACCUCCGUUUACCAACUAGCCACCCCGCAUGUGAGUCACUGCGCAGCGCGCACGUUACGGAGCUGAGCAGUCAUCGCCAGGGCAAGCGGCCCGCUGGUGCAUCGCCAACGCACGCCACUGCCACAGACGGCGAGGCACCGCCGCCUCUGGUUGAUGUGAGCACGGCUGUAAACUCUGAAUCGUGCGUCGUCUUCAAGCUGCAGGGAGACAGCGAGCGGGCCCUCGUGGCACCCUUCAUGCCCGCCAACUGGGACAACAGCAUUGCAAGGAAGCCAUCCCCAUCACCGGCAGGGCAACGAGCGCCUGCGGCGGAGCGCGCCGCUGAGGCCGAAUACCGUGCUCGUGUGCAACGUCUGUUCUAUGCAAAUGCGCUCGUGCCUGUGGGCAGCCCGGAGUGGAAGCGCUGUCUCGCUCGUGGCCGCUAUGAGGUGCGCAGCGUCCACAACGUAUUGCACGUGCGCAAGUACCGCGCGCUGCACAAGCGGUACAGCUGGGCUUCGCAGCUCUCGCGCACAGAGUUGGAGGCGGCGUGGGGCGGCAGUGUGGAGGACGUGGAACAAGCGCUUCUGGGGUUGUCUAACAGGGACGUGUACGGCUACUCGGGAAGCGACGCCGAAGCAUCAGAGGAGGCAAAGGGCGACGCGAAACGAGAAGAGCAUGCUGCACGGUCGUAGAUGGCACGUGGAAUAUGCGGCGCGUUGAACGUCGUCUGCGGCUUCGCGCUGUUUCGCAAGUUACUGUUGCGCCUUCCUCUCUUUCCGUCCUCUACAUGGUUUCUCGCUUACAGACGGCCGUGCGAACGGCACUGUGGCCUCGCGGCUCCCGUGCACUUGCGCGGUUGUCUGCUGGAGUGCUUGCGCACGUGCCGCAUCUUUCAGAGCAGGUGCCUUUCUCCGCUCAGCUCUGGCGCCGCCAACAUGCUUCGUUUUUUUUCUAGGCAGCGCGUGUGUGUGUGUGGGGGGGGGGGGGGGGUAGAUGGAGGUGAGGAGGGGGUCGCCACUGUCUGCGUUCUCUCUCUGUCUUUGUCUUCCGCCCUCACCCCCCCCCACUCCCACUCCAUCCUCUACCCACGCUCGCGACUGCAUGCAACGCUGUGCAGGGCUUCCUUUUUCGUUUCCUCGAGCGCUGGCUGGCGGUGGCGGCAUCAGCUGGUCGGCGCCUUCACCUGCGUCUGCACGGCGGCGUCCGCCUCGCGCGCCUGGCGCUGCUCAACUCCCUAUGGCCUUUGACGCAUGUCUCCUCGUUGUCCGCGCGCACUGUGGCCGCCGCCUUGGAAUGCGCCCCCUUCGCGCACACACGCACUUGUGCACAGAGGCGCUUGCGAGCGUGCUUGUGGCCUCUCGAACCUCCCCCCUACCACACGCGCACGCACACCCUUCUUGUUCUUCCUGCUUCUUUUCAAGGGCGUGCUGGCUACAACGCACUGGAAAAGACACAGCCUGUGGAUGUUGUGCAUGUGGCCCACUCGCACCUUGUGCGUCGCUGGGUACCC
RNAcentral lists this unclassified non-coding RNA (1810 nucleotides) under Leishmania donovani. RNAcentral's name for it is "gene:LdHU3.34.0620(CDS-product:hypothetical_prote in_conserved)". Lineage: Eukaryota; Euglenozoa; Kinetoplastea; Trypanosomatida; Trypanosomatidae. The record is from RNAcentral.